RNAcentral lists this ribosomal RNA (253 nucleotides) under uncultured bacterium. RNAcentral describes it as "partial 16S ribosomal RNA". It matches the Rfam family "Bacterial small subunit ribosomal RNA", at positions 524 to 776 of the family's 1533-position model. The record is from RNAcentral.
UACGUAGGGGGCAAGCGUUGUCCGGAAUCACUGGGCGUAAAGGGCGCGUAGGCGGCUCGGUAAGUAGGGGGUGAAAUCCUGCGGCUUAACCGCAGAGCUGCCUUCUAAACUGUCGAGCUCGAGCACGGUAGAGGCAGAUGGAAUUCCCGGUGUAGCGGUGGAAUGCGUAGAGAUCGGGAAGAACAUCAGUGGCGAAGGCGGUCUGCUGGGCCGUUGCUGACGCUGAGGCGCGACAGCGUGGGGAGCAAACAGG